This 405-nucleotide ribosomal RNA is filed under the name uncultured bacterium. RNAcentral's name for it is "partial 16S ribosomal RNA". It matches the Rfam family "Bacterial small subunit ribosomal RNA", at positions 28 to 526 of the family's 1533-position model. The record is from RNAcentral.
GAUGAACGCUGGCGGCGUGCCUAAUACAUGCAAGUCGAGCGAAGCGGGGACGGGUGCGUAACACGUGGAUAACCUCCUAUAAGACUGGGAUAACUUCGGGAAACCGUAGCUAAACCGGAUACUUAUCGAUGUAUCCGCCCUGCAUUAGCUAGUUGGUAAGGUAACGGCUUACCAAGGCAACGAUGCAUAGCCGACCUGAGAGGGUGAUCGGCCACACGGGAAAUGAGACACGGUCCAGACUCCUACGGGAGGCAGCAGUAGGGAAGCUUCCGCAAUGGGCGAAAGCCUGACGGAGCAACGCCGCGUGAGUGAUGAAGGUCUUCGGAUCGUAAAACUCUUUUAUUAGGGAAGCGGUACCUAAUCAGAAAGCCACGGCUAACUACGUGCCAGCAGCCGCGGUAAUAC